GGCUUUCACUGCGGCUGUGCGGGCUCAGCGCCCGCUAAGCGCGCGCUCGGUCGACUCGCGUCGGCGAUUUCUCCGUUCGGUCAAGUUCUCUCGAGGCGGCUGUGCAGUCUACGCUCUCUGAUUCAUAGUAAAACACUCAAUUGAAAACCACAAGAUACGGACUUCCCUGGUGGCGCAGUGGUUAAGAAUCCGCCUGCCGAUGCAAGGGACAGGAGUUCGAGCACUGGUCCAGGAAGAUCCCACAUGCCGCGGAGCAACUAAGCCCGUGCACCGCAACUACUGAGCCUGUGCUCUAGAGCCCACGAGCCACAACUACUGAAGCCCACGCCUAGAGCAUGUGCUCCACAACAAGAGAAGCCACUGCAAUGCGAAGCCCAGGCACCGCAACGAAGAGUAGCCCCCACUCGCCGCAACUAGAGAAAGCCCACGCGCAGCAACGAAGACCCGGUGCAGCCAAAAAUAAAUUAAUUAAUUAAAAAAAAAAAGAUAAAGAAAUUAGCCAGUUUAGGUGUAUAUAUUUGUGGGCAACAAAAGAUACUAAUUCAGAAUUAACUAGUUUGAUAGAAAAUAUGAAAUCUGUAUACCUAAAUACCUGUACAUCUGCUUAAGAGAUAAAAAAGACAGAAUGAGGGAAUAUUGAAGAAGACUAGAGAGUAGGAAAGACGAACCAUCACCCCAAAAUGACAAAGAAGGAAAUAUAAAGAAAAAGAUUAUGGCACAUGAAAAAAAAUAAGCUAAUGGAUUGUGUGGCAUUUUCUUGUUUUAAAACUAAAGAUGUUCGAUCUUACGCAUUUUUGCAAAUACGGACAUACGAUGGGAUAUAACUUAUUAGUAAUUGUUUCCGGAUGUGGAGAAUAUCCACCCUCUUUUUUAAGCCUGAUGUCUGUUGUCCCUUGUUCUAACUUUCAUCCUUCAGCAAAGGUAACCUUUACACACAAGAUGUCCAAUUGAAUUUAAUUCUACAAGCCUCAUAUAACCACCAGUCUCAUUACUUCUCGUAUACAGUUUGGAACAGAGCUCGUUAGAGUAAGAAUGAUGGUAGAUUUUACUGAGGCAAACCAAAAGAUUUCUGAACACAAGCAAUGUUUGGAACAUUUAUGCACCAGUUGAUAAAGUACAGCUCUGGUCAAAGAAAUUUGGAUAGUCCUUCAGAUACUAUAAGUGAAUAUGGCCUGUUUUUUGCCCCUAAGGAGACGUUCUUAACCUGGAUCCAAAGACCUUUUCAUGGGUGUUCCCAGGGAAUUUGUGAACCACUGAAAUUAUAUACAUAAUUUCAUGUCUAUGCACAUUUUUCUAGGGGAGAUGUCUAUAGCUUUUAUUUGCCUUGCUUACUCUGCAAUUUGCCAUCCUGUUUUCUUUAUCUUCUCCCCAUUCCAGAAUUAUCUUGAUUGAGAUACUUUGAUGAAAACCAGAAAUAUUUCCAAGAAUGCAUUAAUAUUGUCAAACAUUAAGGCAUAGGUCAUAAUAUUGUACUGCUGUGGGAGAGACAGGAUUGGACCUUGCAGUGGAAAGCCCUUGGCCUGAAUCCUGGCUCUGCCACUAGCUGGCUCUGUACCUAAAGAGCUACUAAUAUCUACAACAUAGAUUUAUUGUGAGGAAUAAAAGUAUGAAGCGUCUCUUACACGUUACCUGAUAUGUAUUAGGUGUUCGGUGAAUGGGUGAAUGGGUAUCAUUUUAAAACUUACAGCUUUCAGAGAGCAGAACUGUAAUUUAAAUUAAGAUAUAAUUAAGUUCCUCCCCUCUCCAUCCCUAGGGGUAACUAAUGCAUGAAUAGGAAUACGUAUAUUGAUAUAUGUACAUACAUUCAUAUAUGUAUUGAUAUAUGGCUGUAAUUUACUCUUUCACCUGCAGUGUAUAGUGUAGAUUUCUGUUCUUCUCUAUUGCACCAACAUUUGGUAUUGUCAGAGUUUUUUGUUUUUACCACUUUAUUGGUUUAAAAAUGCUGUCUCACUCACUUUGUAUUUUUCUACAGGGAGAGGAUCUUUUCAUGUUUACUGGCCAUGUUCUUAUUCUUUGCUCAUUUUCCUGUUGGUUUUGAUUUUUCUUUUUAAUUUGUAGAAAUAUACUAUAGUCACUUUGGACUCGAAGUUCCAUGUUGAUUGUGUGCACUUUAUAUAUUUUCUUUCCAUAUGUGGAUUGUUGUAUCACUUUGUUUACAGCAAGAUUUCUCAACCUCUGCAGUAUUGACAUUUUGGGUCAGAUAAUUCUUGGUUGUGAAGACUGUUGUGUACAUUGUAGAAUGUGCAGCAGCAUCCCUGACCUCUAUCCACUAGAUGCCAGUAGCACCACUCCAGUCAUGAUGAUCCAAAAUGUCUCCAGACAUUGCCCAUUGUCCCCUGGGAGCAAAAUUGCCCCUGGUUGAGAACCACUGGUUUAUAGUGACUCUUGUGCAGAGUUAUUUAUCUUUAAGAAAACUUUAUUCCACUAACAUUUUUUGGGUUUAUAUUAUGUGGCAGGUCCUAAGUGUUUCAUUUGACCUAAUGCUAACCUUAGCCCAUUUACUAAUCAUAGCACAUAGAAAAUAGAUACUAUUAUUAUCCCUGUUUUAUAAAGGAGAAAUCUUGCUUAUGUCUUCUAAUGUAGAGGAGAUGUUAAUCAACUUUACUGAGCUAUAAUUGACAGACAAUAAAAUGUAUCCAUUUCAAGAGU
Molecule: long non-coding RNA, 2649 nt
Organism: Balaenoptera musculus (blue whale)
Lineage: Eukaryota; Metazoa; Chordata; Mammalia; Artiodactyla; Balaenopteridae
Source: Ensembl